RNAcentral lists this small nucleolar RNA (100 nucleotides) under Paecilomyces variotii No. 5. RNAcentral describes it as "Byssochlamys spectabilis No. 5 Small nucleolar RNA Z13/snr52". It matches the Rfam family "Small nucleolar RNA Z13/snr52". From Rfam's summary of the family: Z13 or snr52 is a member of the C/D class of snoRNA which contain the C (UGAUGA) and D (CUGA) box motifs. Most of the members of the box C/D family function in directing site-specific 2'-O-methylation of substrate RNAs. The record is from Rfam by way of RNAcentral. Lineage: Eukaryota; Fungi; Ascomycota; Eurotiomycetes; Eurotiales; Thermoascaceae.
CCUGGUCAUAUGAUGAAUCAUUUCGGAUGUAAACACAGACCUGUUCUGAAUGCGCAAAUCCUUGUUGAUAUUUCCGUUGCCUUCCUUCUGAUGACCUCAA